RNAcentral lists this long non-coding RNA (945 nucleotides) under Gallus gallus (chicken). Lineage: Eukaryota; Metazoa; Chordata; Aves; Galliformes; Phasianidae. The record is from RNAcentral.
UGUUUGCAGCGUAGAGCAGGGCCGAAAGGGCGAAGGGAGCGACGUGGUGCCAGGACACCGCGGCCCCGAGCAGCUGCCGGUCCCAGGUGAGCAGGAAGAGCAGGGAGAGCACCAGCUUUGUCAGCUCGAUGAGAACCACCACGGACGAGGAGCUGAAGGGGAUCGUGCCAUCCACCUUGCACAGGGUGAGGAGCGGAGCGUGGGAGCCGUAUAUGGCCACAGAGGAGAGCAGCAUCAGCCCCCAAAGCCCGCGCUGCUCAGGGCUCCCACACACAGCCAUCUCCAGGCGGCAGCACAGAGGGCGAGAGCUGCCGCAGCGGGGGGAGGCCAUACAGACUCCCACCUCGGGACACUCAAAAGAGACCAAACGCCAUGAAUUUAAUGAGCCUGACUACAGCAGGCCGUUACCUGCCACGCUCCCCAUGCAGCAGAAGGGAACAGCUUUGCUCCUCCUGAAGGAGAGCAGCAGGACCUGCCUCCCCGGGACGCACCGCGUGCUCUGGCACGAUGUGGGCUCGGGGGGCACGGAGCCGCAGGGUCCGAGGGAGCGGAGGGGAGGCCCAAACACACCGGGCACGGACAGCGCGUGAGCGUCCCAGGAGCCGCUGCUCGCACCGGGCAGCCCCGCUACUCCCCUCCUUUCCGCAGCGCGCUCAGGUAGUCCCGCACCGUCUUCUCCACGUCGGGCACGGCGUAGUUCUGCGCGGCGUAGAUGCCGGUGCACGUCCCCACGGCGAAGCCCAGCACGGCCGAGAAGCGCAGCUUGGCCACCAGGUACCCGGCCAGGAAGCCCUUCAGGAAGGGGGAGGCCAGCAGCGAGCCGCCCUGCCCCACGCCGGCGUGCACCUCGUCCUCCACGCGCCGCUGCAGGCUCUCCAGCUGCCCCUUCAGCAGAGCCAGGUCCUUCAGCUUGGGCAGCGAGUCCUUAUCGUCCGCCAUGCUGCC